GACGAACGCUGGCGGCGUGCCUAAUACAUGCAAGUAGAACGCUGAAGAGAGGAGCUUGCUCUUCUUGGAUGAGUUGCGAACGGGUGAGUAACGCGUAGGUAACCUGCCUUGUAGCGGGGGAUAACUAUUGGAAACGAUAGCUAAUACCGCAUGACAAUGGAUGACACAUUUCAUUUAUUUGAAAGGGGCAAUUGCUCCACUACAAGAUGGACCUGCGUUGUAUUAGCUAGUAGGUGAGGUAACGGCUCACCUAGGCGACGAUACAUAGCCGACCUGAGAGGGUGAUCGGCCACACUAGGACUGAGACACGGCCCAGACUCCUACGGGAGGUAGCAGUAGGGAAUCUUCGGCAAUGGGGGCAACCCUGACCGAGCAACGCCGCGUGAGUGAAGAAGGUUUUCGGAUCGUAAAGCUCUGUUGUAAGUCAAGAACGAGUGUGAGAGUGGAAAGUUCACACUGUGACGGUAGCUUACCAGAAAGGGACGGCUAACUACGU
RNAcentral lists this ribosomal RNA (496 nucleotides) under uncultured bacterium. Its description in RNAcentral is "partial 16S ribosomal RNA". It matches the Rfam family "Bacterial small subunit ribosomal RNA", at positions 28 to 506 of the family's 1533-position model. The record is from RNAcentral.